GACGAACGCUGGCGGCGUGCUUAACACAUGCAAGUCGAGCGGUAAGGCCCUUUCGGGGGUACACGAGCGGCGAACGGGUGAGUAACACGUGGGUGACCUGCCCUCAGCUCUGGGAUAAGCCUGGGAAACCGGGUCUAAUACUGGNUAUGACUCCAUGACGCAUGUUGUGGGGUGGAAAGCCUUGUGCGGCUGAGGAUGGGCCCGCGGCCUAUCAGCUUGUUGGUGGGGUGANGGGCCUACCAAGGCGGCGACGGGUAGCCGGCCUGAGAGGGCGACCGGCCACACUGGGACUGAGACACGGCCCAGACUCCUACGGGAGGCAGCAGUGGGGAAUCUUGCGCAAUGGGCGAAAGCCUGACGCAGCGACGCCGCGUGAGGA
This 379-nucleotide ribosomal RNA is filed under the name uncultured bacterium. Its description in RNAcentral is "bacterial SSU rRNA". It matches the Rfam family "Bacterial small subunit ribosomal RNA", at positions 28 to 407 of the family's 1533-position model. The record is from RNAcentral.